This 15790-nucleotide long non-coding RNA is filed under the name Nicotiana tabacum (common tobacco). Its description in RNAcentral is "long non-coding RNA (NTAB_LNC001009)". The record is from RNAcentral. Lineage: Eukaryota; Viridiplantae; Streptophyta; Magnoliopsida; Solanales; Solanaceae.
AAUCAUCCAAAAAUGCUUUAGUACAUAAAACUAGAGUUAUAAUCAAAAAAUAAAUAUUAAUACACCAAAUCCAUCAAACCCUAAUGGUAACUACUCUAUAGACAUGGAGUAAUUUAUCACAAUUAUAAUUAAAGUAAAGGAAAACAUAAAUCUCUUGUCUUGAGUGACGAAGGAAUGAUGAAAUCCUCGUGCUUUCGCUCCUCCAACUCUUCCUUAGCCUCCUUAGGUCGAUUGUGUGUUAAACGUCCCAAAAAUAACGUUUUUACAUGUAUUUAUACCAAGUAGGGUCGGGACCAAAUGAAAAUGCCUUUUUCUAGCCGAAAUUGGAUUGUAGCUCUGUAAAAAUUGUAUAGGCGCGCCACGCGCCAGUCCACACGCGACGCUAGUGUUAAUUUCUCAGAGUCCGGCUUUUCUUUUCUUUUUGAUAUCCAGAUGUAGUUCUCAAGCCCCGAACGCGAUCCCGACUUAAUGCCUUAGGCUUUUACUCAGACUUCAAAGCUCCAAAUCACUCGAAUUAGAUCCAUAACAUCUAUGUCACUCGAAAUCACUCCUAUAAGGAAUAAAAUACGAAAUAAGUACAAAACACUAGCAAUGAAAGCACAAAAAUAGUUUAAAGUGCAGUACAUUCGAGUGCAACAAGCGACUAAAAUAAGUAAUUAUAGCCUGCCAUCAAGUGUCCUAAAACUACCCGGACAGAAGCAUGAUUUUUAGCUACACGUGGACUCUCGUCACUUCGUGCUACGUAGCACCCACAAUUAGUAGCAAAUAGUAAUUUAAAUACAUGCAGGGUAAAUUCCCUCUUACAUGGUUAGGCAAAAGACUUACCUCAUUCCCAAGUUCACUUUCCGGUCCACAAGCCACCCUAAAGCCUCAAGUCGAUGCCGAACAAUCCUAAACUAGUCAAAUAUUGUAUAAAUCAAUCAAUUAUACUCAAAAGUUCAUAAUUUAGCUAUUAGGGUAACUACCAAAUCCAAAUUGGAAGAUUUCUAAAAUUCACCGCCAAGCUCACGUGCUCGGAUUUCGGAAAUUUUCAAAGAUAAACAUUACCUAUUACACCAAGAACCCAAAUAUAUAUUUUCUAAUUAAUUCUAUAAUCCUUUUCGUGGUCUCAUCUUAUUUUUAUCAAAAAUCUAAAAUUUUCCAUUAAACCUAUAAUUUCCACAAUUUAUAUGUUAAAUAUACCCAAAAUCCAUGUAUUAAACUCACAUUAAGUAGUAAUAACUUACCUUACGAUGAUAGGUAAAAAUCCCUCUACAACAGCUCCAAAAUCAACCUCCUAAAGUUAAAAUAAGAGAAAAUAGCCUAAGUCCCAAUAUAAAUGCAACCUUCUGCCCCUCAGUGAUUUUCGCUUCUGCGGAAAAUUCGUAGCUUCUGAAACUCCACAUAUGCUAAAAUUACAUCGCAUAUGUGGUCCUCCUCCAGCUGGCCUCCUUCUGCUUCUACGAAGCCUUCUUCGCAUCUGCGGGCUCACAGAUAUGGUCGAGCCCUCGCAUCUGUGUCGCGCUCCAUUUUCUCCUCGCGGGUCUGGGUUUCGACAUUCAUUGGGAACAACUCAUUUCCUUUUGGGAAUUGGGUAUUUGAAUUUUGAAGAGUCGUCAUCUAACGGAUUUAAGGUGCGUUACGGCACCUAAAACAAGUAACUCAUAAGACCGAUUUGCAUUACCAGAGAUUGAGUAAGGGCUCGAAAUAACCUUGAGGAAAAGGUGUUAGGAACCCCUCGCGGUUUACAACGGUGGGUCCCGGUCGAACUCAAAUUAUAUCAAUUAGUCUUAUAAACAAAUAAAGCAAAAUUAGACAGAUUGGUGUUACAUUUAAAACAAGAAGUAAAAGGGGUCCUAGGUUCUUUAGCCUACAGGAUCACAUCUGUAAAAUACCCGAUAAACUUUCCUCAACUAGAGGGGUUACACGUGGCAUUAGCACAUAGGUAAUCAUAUCCUCUUACUACCCAAGUACCCUCCCUUGGUGGUUAUAUAAUAGCUUUUAAUUAAAUAAACUCUAUGCAUGCAUUACCCGUCCUUUCCUUAUGGUCCUAUAGGUGUUUAAGAGCUCUAAUUUAGGCAUUUCUAGACAUUCCUAAAGUACUUAAAGGAGAAAAAUCUAGGCGACAAGCAAGAACAAAUAGGACUGUCAAGUAAAGAACAAUUAAAGGGGGGCUCACAUUUACCUCCAAAAAUAAGCAGAUAAUGGCACGUCUCACACAACAAGAUUUCAGAUAUUUCAAAGGAUCCCAGGUGUCACGCCCCAAACCUGGGGAGGCGUGACUGGUACCUGGUGCCGCACUGGCCCGAGUGAACCACUCUGCAAUUUUUUUUCUUUGUAACUAUCAUGGGCCAACAUGGCCACAACUCGUAAUGUACAACUGUAAGUGGGCAACACUGUAUCAAUAAACUAUCGUUCUUAAAACAUGAAUACAUAUGGGCCCGUAAGGCCUUUGACAUACUGUACAAAUGAACCUUUGUGUACAAAGCCUCCAAGAUUAUUAGACAUCAAACAGGACAUGGCACCGACUUACCCAUACGUUUGUAGCAAAACUCUGACACGAUAACUCAUACAUUCGGCUGCACUCCGAAUGAGGUGGAGUCUUACUGACCCUUUGCUGAAUGCCAAUCUUGUCUACUAUGAGGGCUCGUCAACUGGUUAUCUAUACCUGCAGGCAUGAAUUCAGUAUCCCCAACAAAAAGACGUCAGUAUGAAUAAUGUACUGAGUAUGUAAGGCAGAAAUGAAACAUAAUAAUAAGUCAAUAUUAAUUAAAUAAUAUAAGGAUCAACCUGUAUCUCUGAAGUGCCACCUUAUCUCCAUACUUAUCAUACUUACAUAUACAAUGCUUUGCUUUGAGACUACUUCUAUUAUCCAUAUCGUAUGAUGCAUGAUUGCCCAACUGAUCAGUGAUAACUGCCCGACCGGCCAUCGCGCGGUGUUAGUAAAUGUAUGACUGCCCAACCGGUAGUAAAUAAUGAUACAUAACUGCCCAACCGGUGGUAACUGCCCGAUCGGCUAGCCCGGUGGUAAAUGCAUGUCUGCCCAACCGGCCGUAGCACGGUGGUAAAUGAAUAUGCAUGAAGAUGCAUGUAUUACUGUAUUAUGAACAUUAACAUCUUUAUCAAAUACCCCGAUAGAGAACUUGAUACGUACUUAAACAUGCUUGAAUAUCACUUUACGGAAAUGAAUAACAUAGACAACCUUAACUGCUAAGAGUCGAAUCACUUAUGGAAUAGCAUUACGAUAGAGGAAACUUGUCGGUUUACCACAAUGAGCUUUACAACCUAGAUUUAUACUCUGAUAGACAACAGUAUCCUCAAAGACAAUUAUCGUCCGAUCUUUACCAAUCAGUACCAAAGAAAAUCACCUUGAGAGAACUUAGAGAUCACUUGUUGUUAAGUGACAUAUAACAAACUCAAGUGCUGUUUCACUUACUUUUUUUGAGCCAACAACAAAGGGACAUGACACCAAGGCUAUAGCAUUUCUGCUUUUGAUUGACAUUCUAUAAAAUCCUCCAUAUCCACUUUCCAGGCAUUGCUAUGGACACGGGAUCAGCCAUAAUACGCCUCACUAGGCUUUUGCCUCUUUUCUUAAUUUUUUUUAAAGUAAAGAUAUCUAAAUACUUCUAUGAAUAGAGUCAUUUAUAGAAAUUAUGCAUUUGCUUAUUUCGUUUGUAUCGUAUAGAUUAUGCCAAAAGAAAAGAAUGGAUAGCCUUAACAUACCUGAACCGGUUCUCUUGACAAUCUCUAACACUCGUUAAUUAGAGCAAAAUACGGAAUAAGUUGAAUGAAAAGCUCGAAGCAAUCACGUUGCUAUGCAAAGAAAAUCUUGAUCGAAACUUUUCGUUUAGCACUUAGUAAUACGUUGUUAUGUGAAGAGAUUUUGGAAAAUGAUUUUUUUGUUGAACUCUUUUCUUAAGAGAAUAGAAAUAACGUUGGAAAGAAUAAGAAAUCUUGGCUAACUCUUUAACGUUACUAACUUUGCCAAUUUAUAUCCAUUUCUCUCAAAAUGGAUGAGAGAUCAGUGAUUAAGCCUUCAAGAUCAAUGACUAGGCUUCAAAAAGUGAUGACUAACCUUAUCAAUUGACUUGUAAGAGUCAUCAAAAAUAGAGUGAAUUGCUGCCACGUUGGAAGCCUUUAGGCUUAUCCAAUUUUCUUAACUAGUAUAAUUAAUUAGUAAUCUCCCACUAAAAUCAAUAAUUAUCAAUCAUUCACAUAAUUAAAAAUUAUCUUAAAUUAUUUAAUAUACUAUUCUUUUUAAAUACACUUUAUAUANNNNNNNNNNNNNNNNNNNNNNNNNNNNNNNNNNNNNNNNNNNNNNNNNNNNNNNNNNNNNNNNNNNNNNNNNNNNNNNNNNNNNNNNNNNNNNNNNNNNNNNNNNNNNNNNNNNNNNNNNNNNNNNNNNNNNNNNNNNNNNNNNNNNNNNNNNNNNNNNNNNNNNNNNNNNNNNNNNNNNNNNNNNNNNNNNNNNNNNNNNNNNNNNNNNNNNNNNNNNNNNNNNNNNNNNNNNNNNNNNNNNNNNNNNNNNNNNNNNNNNNNNNNNNNNNNNNNNNNNNNNNNNNNNNNNNNNNNNNNNNNNNNNNNNNNNNNNNNNNNNNNNNNNNNNNNNNNNNNNNNNNNNNNNNNNNNNNNNNNNNNNNNNNNNNNNNNNNNNNNNNNNNNNNNNNNNNNNNNNNNNNNNNNNNNNNNNNNNNNNNNNNNNNNNNNNNNNNNNNNNNNNNNNNNNNNNNNNNNNNNNNNNNNNNNNNNNNNNNNNNNNNNNNNNNNNNNNNNNNNNNNNNNNNNNNNNNNNNNNNNNNNNNNNNNNNNNNNNNNNNNNNNNNAUAUAUAUAUAUAUAUAUAUAUAUAUAUAACGAUAUCAAUGUUGUUAAACUUACGGGAUGCAACACUAGGGCAAAAUGUCUAGGUGAGCAUGACAAACAGAAUAUGCAGCAUUGUGUUAAAGCGAGGUAAUAGAUACCUAAUCAGUUUGCGUACUGAUUUUAGGACCUGUUGAAUAUGGGCAGUUCACAAAUAAUUAAGCCAAGCACAUUUUACCCAUUGCAGGAUUUUAAUUACCUAUAGGCUCACCUAAGCGUGGAUCUGAGAUGCCCUAUAACAUGAUGUCUAAUUAUUAAUCAGAAUUCUAAUAACAAAUUUAAAACCAACAAUUUGAGUUCAUUAUGUCCUAUAGGCAUGCUGUCUAGGCGUAAACAUUAUAAAAUAGUUUUUUUAUACACAUUAUCUCUAUAUGCAUGAUACCUAAGUGUGGAGGCUACCUUUUAAACUUACUCUUAUAGAUGUUGCUACUGAAGAAACUGAUUCUGUACGAUCUAGAUGUAGUUAUAGUAUUUAGGCGAUGGUUAAAAAAGGUCCUAAAGCAUGGUUUCUAAUGCACAUAAGAGAAUAAACAUGAUUCUUAGGCAGAAUUAAUAGCAACCUAGUGACAGGAUUCCUAAACAGGCGUGACAUAUGCAGAACUUUAGAAAGCAGAAGUUUUAGAACAAAUGAUAUGACGCACCUAUAAACGUGUACAAAAAUAAUCCAAGAAGCAGGGUUUCUAAUGCAAGUAGAUGAUCAUAAUGGUCCUAAGAGCAUGAUUUCUUCCUGAUUCCCCACAAAAUAUAUAUAUAAAAAGUCCCUCCCAUUUUACUAAUAUCCCCAAUAUAUAUUUACAAGGAUUAUUAUAGACAAUAAAACAAAUUAAUUACAAAAUAAACCAAGCUAUGAUAUAGGGAGCCUGAAUAGGCCCAACAUGAACAUGUAAAAACCAGGACUUCAAACAAUCUAAAGUGCCAUAGUCCCAUAGUGCCCAAUAGUAUUUCGGUGUGUCAAAGUUCCCAAGGGCCUCAGGAAGCCCAGGCAAUGCUCACACUAGAAAACUUUCGAAGUAACCCUUUGUGAGUAAGUUUGGAAAGCCAACUCCAGUGUGUCAAAGUUCAGAGGAGCCUCAUGGACUCCUAAGCAAUGCUCACACCAGAGGGGCAAGGCCCUAUGUGUUCUAAGAAUAGGAAUUUAAAACAUGAGAUAGUUUUUAAGAAAAUAGUUUUGGAUUCUCAGGAAUAAGGAGCGAACAGGGUCAUUCAAUCAUUGUAACUCAAACAAAGGUCCUAGCAGUCAAAUAGUAUACAGAAACAGGGUAACUUAGAGUUUCAACUUAGUUUAUUAACUUUCAUUAGGAGGGCAUACAGUCACAUACAGAGGGAUAGUAGGGCUGGGGAGCCAUAUUGUGAGAAGUGAACAUUUUAAGAGCAUGCUAGUGGAGAAGUAGACAUAGGUUCAGUUUAGACAUGAGCAAGUAUACAGACUUGCUGAAAGCAGAAGCACAUAGGUUUGGCUAAACAGGAGUAAACAGGUUAAAAACAAGACACAUAGGUUCAAUCAAACAGAAGUAUACAUGCUAUUGCAGUAACAUAUAGGUUGAACAGAAGUAGACAUGCUUAUUGUAGUGAACACAUAGGUUUGCUUAAGUAAAAGAAAGACACGCUGAUCAUAAGGAAACACACAAGUCAAAUUGAAUAGCAGUAAGCAUAGAGUCUAGUGAACAUGCUAAUAAUCACGAGGCAUAUGAUCUAAUAAGACAAGUAGACAUGCUGAUAACAGGGCACAUGGUUGAAUUAACUAGCAGUAGACAUGCUGAAUAGGGAAAACAUACAUGUUCAGAAGAAAGACAUGUUGAUUGUAAGAAAAACACAUAGGUUUAAUUGAAUGGCAAUAGUGAGAGCAUACCAGUUAAGGAAGCAGAAACAGAAGGUAAAGUAGGCAGGAUUAGACAGCCUAGCCUUGGCUUUCAGCCGGCUAGACAAGCAAUGAACACAAGUAGCAGAGAGAGAGAUGAGAGAAAGCUUUUGUGUGUGUGUGUGUGUGUGUGUUUGAACUAUUGUUGGUUGUUUAAAGAAGUCAGAAUGAGAGUUUAUAUAGCACUUAGUAUAGUAGGACAAAUAAGGUAAAGAAUAAAUCAGAGUUCAUAAAACAGGAUAAUAAAAUAAAUCAGUCAGUUAAUUGGGGACUUAACUCAAUCAAUUCCCACAUAAGAAUCCGGGAAAGACCCCCUUAGAUUGGGGAGAAUCCCUUAUCGAUUCAGAUUGGGAUUCAAAUAAGGUAAACAAAUCAAUCAUGUACCAUAUAGAAGUCAAUUAAAUCCCUAAAUUAGACUAAUAGUCUAAUUAAGUCAAGUAAUACUAAAUAAAGUCACAACUAAGAAAAAUAGGUAAAUCACAGAGAAGUACUGAUUUUAAAGGGAAGAAUUGGUUCAAAUUCCUAAUAGAAAUCAAUUAAGUAAAAAACAAUCCCAAAGAAUAAUGGUUUUAAUAGAAAAAAUGUUCAAGACGAAAAAUAGAAUCAGUCAACACAACUAGUUCACAGAAAUAAGCACAAUAACGGAAAAAAUUGAAGAAAUCAAUGUCACAAAUAGGAACAUUUAGGGUUUAAACAUAUACACGAAAAUUAAUCAAACAUGUAAUGAAACCAUUUUAACACUGAAAUGUUUAGAAAAACUCUUUGAAAAAAGGACAGGUAUGAACCCUAAUUUCAGAAAGAGUAAACGAAGUCGAAACAAUUAAUUAAACCAAGAGAUUCUUAAAGGAAAACAACCAAUGAUACUUGAAUAACUUCAGAUCUACAAUGAUCUGAGAAGAUUUGAAAAGUAGUGAAACUAGGGUUUUUAGAAAAUAGUAGAGAUGAAGAGAAUCGAUCGAAAACCCAUGGAUUCGUACUAGAAGCUAGAGGAAAUUCAUACUCAUAAACAAAAGUGGCCUGAGACAGGCCGAUAAACAACUUUCAAACCAGAAUUGGUUGGAUUUCUAUGAGAUCUUCUCAAGGACUCAUGAAAUCAAGCAGUUAGAGAGUAUAGGAGACCGGUGGUGGUCGGAGAAUGCACAGAAACACCAUGGAAGGGAGGUCCCCGCCGGUGAUGGCGAUUAGGGUUAGUGGUGAGUUGAGAGAGAGAGUUGGAGAGAUUAGGGAACAAAGGGCGGCAGAGUGUAACAAAUGAGCUAGGUUAGGGAGGUCGUUUGAGUUAAAAAUUGUAAGAAUGAAUAGGUGUCGUUGAUCUGUCGUUUGAGUUAAAAAUUGUAAGAAUGAAUAGGUGUCGUUGAUCUCAGAGAUCAACGACCAUAAUGAGAAAGGGCAUGGAUCUGGUAGGUUUUUAAUUGGGUUGGGGUCGUUUAAACUGGGCUUGGGUUAAUUAAAUUGGAUUGGGAGGGUCCGAUUUUGGGUGUAAAUUAGGGGCUAUUUAUUAAAUACUCAUUUUACUAAAUAAAAUAAUUUUAAAAAUAGCUAAUUUAAUGAUAAAAAAUAAUUUUUCAAGUAUGAAUAUGAUUUAAAAUAGUUAUUCAAUAUUAUAAAAAUAUAAAAAGGUUUUUUCUGUAUAGAUAAUGUAGUUAUGCAUAUGUAGAGACUAUUUUUGCAAAAUAUGUUAUUAUAGUCUUAAAAAUGUAAAAUGUAAUUAUAAAAAUACAAUUAAAAUAUUUGAACACUCAUAUGAACAUAAAUGAUGAAUUUAGAUGAUUAAACUAUCAUAAAAAAUAUGAGGGAUAGUUUUGAACAUUUAUGUAACUAGAAAAUGCAGAAAUAGAUGGAAUUAGGGCCUUGAAAAAAUUGUAGAAAAAUUAUAAAAUACUUUUGCAUGUUUGUAAAUGCAUGUACAAUAUCUUGAAAGUGUGUGAAUAUUUAAAAUAUAUGAGGAAAAAUUGGGUAUCAACAUCUGUGUCCCUGCCCCCCAGCUCCAGUCCACAUACAGAUUUUAACCGCUAUUGCGGUCACGCACCUGCGCCCCCACGUUCGCACCUGCAGAUUUAGUCCAUCUAUACAAAACUAGCACCUACAGCUAGCCAGCCGCUUUUGCAGUGCCGCACCUGCGGCCAACUCUUCGUAGGUGCGAAAGCACUAGAUCCCAGCCGUCUUUAGAAAUUCUCCCAAGUUCAAACAUGUUCCGCACAUCGUCCGAAUAGCACCUGAGGCCCCCGGGGCCUCAUCCAAACAUACCAACAAGUUCUUAAACAUAAAACGGACCUGCUCGAACCCUCGAAAUGCGUAAAACAACAUCAAAGCUAAGAAUCGAACCCGAAAACUAAAUUGAAUCAAAAUAUGAUCCUCAAGAUUUUCCAACUUACUCUGAAUGCGUCGAAUCAUACUUAGACUACCUAGAAUGACACUAAACUUUGCAUACAAGUCAUAAAUCACCGUAAGGAACAAUUCUAGGCUCGGAAUCCCAAACGGACCUUUAUAACACCAUUGUCUACUACAAACCAAAUUUAAAGAACUAAAAAGCCUUCAAUGUGCCAACUUUCAACAUUAAGCGCUGAAACACUCGCGUGUCAUCCGAAACCCGAUCCGAAUAUACGUUCAAGUCCAAAACCAUCAUCAAACCUAUUGGAACCAUCAAAUCCCGGUCCCGAUGUCGUUCACUAAAAAUAUUGACUCAAGUCAAACAUUGCCAUCUUAUGCCAAUAUUAAGGAACCAAGUGUUCCGAUUUUAACUCGAACCCUUCCAAACCCAAGUCAACCAUCCCCGCAAGUCAUAAAACAGUAAUAACACAUACGGAGAGUCUUAAUUAGGGGAAUAGGGAUCUCGAAAGCAAAACAAUCGGUCAGGUCUUUACAUUCUCCAUCUCUUAAACAAACAUUUGUCCUCGAACUAGUCUAGAAUCAUAGAGUGCUGGAUAGGUAUGAAUAUCUACUUUGCAUGUCCUCCUCGGUCUCCAAGUCACCUCCUCGACUAGUUGACCCCACCACUGGACCUUUUCCGCAGAAGUUUUCUUAGAAAUCAACUGGCGAACCUGCCUGUCAAAAAUAGCCAUUGGCUCCUCCUCGUAGCGCAAGCUUUAAUCGGGCUCAAACCAUUCGAUGGGCGAACAACAUCGCUGACCAUACAAAGCCUAAAAUGCAGCCAUCUAAAUGCUGGACUAAUAACUGUUGUUAUAAGCAAAAUCGGGCAAAGGCAAGAAUCGAUCCCACUACCCGCCGAAGCUAAUCAUACAUGAUCUGAGCAUAUCCUCCAGGAUCUGAACUGUCCACUCCGUCUGCCCAUCGGUCUGCAAAUGAAAGGUUAUGUUGAGCUCUACUUGGGUACCCAACUAACUCUAUACUGCUCUCUAGAAGUGCGAAGUGAACUAAGGGACUCUAUGAAAUGAUGGAAACAUGCACACUAUGCAACUGGACAAUCUCCUAAAUGUAAUUUUAGGCCAACCUCUCUAACGAGUACGUAGUCAUCACUGGAAAAAAGUGUGCCGACUUGGUCAGCCUGUCGAUGAUGAUCCAAACGGCAUUACACUUCCUUAAUGUCCAGGGUGACCCAACUACCAAGUCCAUAAUGUUGCGCUACCAUUUUUACUCAGGUAUAACCAUUUGCUAAAGUACGACACCUAGCCUCUGGUGCUCAUACUUAAACUAUUAGCAAUUUAGGCAUCUCACUACAUACUCAACUAUGUCCUUCUUCAUUUGCCGCCACCAAUAAUGCUGCCUCAGAUCACGAUACAACUUCGUAGCACCUACAAGAAUAGAAUACCGAGAACUACGUGCCUCCUCUAGAAUCUUCUCCCUCAAUCCAUCAACAUUAGAAGACUUAGGAGUUGCAGAACACCAUCCUUACCGAUAGUAACCUCCCUGGCACUACCCUGUAGUACUGUUUCCCUGAGAACCAGCAAGUGCAGAUUGUCAUACUGACGUGCCUUAAUAUGCUCAAAUAAUGAUGUCUGAGCGACGACGCAUGCAAGAACUCGACUGGGAUCUAAAAUAUCCAACCUCACAAGUGUGUUAGCCAAGGACUGAAUGUCCAAAGCCAAUGGCUUCUCCUCUGCUGAAAUGAAUACUAAACUACCGAUACUCUCGACCCUUUUGCUCAAGGCAUCCGUAACCACAUUUGUCUUGCCUAAAUGAUAAAGGAUGGUAAUAUCAUAGUCCUUUAGUAACUCAAGCCACAUGUGCUACCUUAUAUUGAUAUUACUAAACUUUAACAAAGGCUAAAAGUUGCUAUAAUCGGUGUAAACCUCAUAGGACACCCCAUAAAGAGAAUGCUUGCAGAUCUUGAGAGCAUGAGCUAUCACGACUAACUCCAAAUCAUAUACGGGGUAAUUAUUCUCGUGGGUCUUCAGCUGACGUGAAGCAUAUGCAAUAACUCGCCCCUCCUACAUCAAUAUAUAACGAAGGCCAACAUGUGAAGCGUCGUAAUACAUAGUAUACAUCCAUGAACCAAAAGGCAACACUAACACUGGUAUUGUAGUCAAUGCGACCUUGAGUUUCUGAAAGCUCACCUCUCAAUCAUCGUACCAUCAGAACGAAGCACCCUUUUGGGUCAAUCUAGUCAAAGGAGUUGCAAUAGACGAGAAGUCAUCCACAAACUAGCAAUGAUAACCUGCUAACCCCAAGAAACUCUUGAUCUCGGUUGCUAAGGUAGGACGAGGCCAACUCUGGACUGCCUCAUCUUUCUGGGAUCUACCUUAAUACACUCGCCUGUUACAACAUGCCCCAAGAAUGCCACAGAAUCUAAACAGAACUCGCACUUAGAAAAAUUCGUAUAUAGCUUCUGUUCCCGCAAGGUUUGAAGCACAACCCUCAAAAGCUGCUCGUGCUCCUCCAUGCUACGCGAGUAGAUCAAUAUGUCAUCAAUGAAGACAAUGACAAAUGAGUCAAUAUAUGUCAUAGACACCCGGUUCAUCAAAUCCAUAAAUGCCACCGGGGCGUUGGUCCAGCCGAAGGACAUCAGUAGAAACUCAUAGUGGCCAUAUCUAGUCUGAAAAGCCGUCUUCGGAACAUCUGAGGCACAAAUCUUCAGUUGAUGAUACCUCGACAAGUCAAUCUUAAAGAAUACCCUGGCACCCUACAACAAGUCAAACAAAUCAACAACAUGCGACAAUGGGUACUUGUUCUUAAUGAUAACAUUGUUCAAUUGGCGGUAAUAAAUGCACAUCCGCAUAGUCCCAUCCUUUUUUCACGAACAACACUGGGGCACCCUAAGGUGACACAUUCAGUAUGACAAACUCCUUUUCUAGCAACUCAUUAAGUUGUUCUUUUAACUCUUUCAACUCUUUUGGAGACAUGUGGUAUGGUGGAAUAGAGAUAGGCUGGGUACCUGGAGAUAAAUAAAUAUAGAAAUCGAUGUCACGAUCUGAUGGCACGCCUGGUAGAUCAGAAGAAAACACAUCGGAGAACUCCCGCACCACGUGUACUAAAUCAAUCAUUGGAGUCUCUGUAGUAGUAUUCCAAAAAUUAUCCAAAUAAGCCAAACAACCCUUCUCGGCCAUAUGUCGAGCCUUCAAGAAAGAGAUAACCUAGCUAGAUAAACUGAUAGAUAAACCCUUCAGAUCCAAUCUAGGAAACGCUAGCAUCACCAACGUAACACUUUUGGCGUGGCAAUCAAGGACGACAUUGUACAGAGAUAAUCAGCCCAUGCCUAGGAUAACCUCAAAGUCAGUCAUGUCAAACAAUAGAAGAUUUGCUCUAGUCUCAUAACCACAGAAAGUCAUGAUACAGGACUGGUAAAUCCAAUCCACAAUAAUAGAAUCUCCCACUAGCUUGGACACAUAUACAGGAGUACCCAAGGACUCACAAGGAACACCUAGAAAAUAAGCAAACAAAGAUGAAACAUAUAAAUACGUAGACCCUGGAUCAAAUAGUACCGAAACAUCCUUUCCAUUGACAUAAAUAAUACUUGUGAUCAUAACAUCUGAGAAUACUACAUUUGGUCUGGCUGGAAGGGCAUCGAACCUAGCUGGUGCACCACCUGACUAGCCUCCACCAUCUACGGGCCCUACCCUCAAGCUGGAAGGUGGUAAAGUCUAUCCCAUGGGACUCCAAUACUCUCAUGUUGUGCAGUCUGUUCCUGCAAUAAUCAAUAAAGUCACGAGGGUCCUUAUUUCUUUCACCGCCAAAGGUAGGACGAUGUAGCCUGAUCUAUCUAUGCAAUAGCUUCUACGGCUCGCCAAUCGUGGCUGGUCUAGCUCUGGUAUACCACUACAACUGGUUGAGCCUCGCCCACGGGUAGUGCACUUGAGGUCUGAUAUACGACAACAACAUUCCCUAGAGCCUAAGUGAUAGAGGUAUAUGCUCCCCCUUCCGCUUGAGAUGUGGCUGGGUCUGCUAGAAAAAAAUAACAUGCCUCAUAGAGUCAAUGAACCGCAGCAUAUGGCCCAUGACCUCCUGGAAUCCUAGAGCGGACAUGAAUCCGAUGGGUCCAACUCAGCUAAAGGUACCUAGCCCUACUCCUCAAUAAUAGGAUCCUCUACUAGAUUUACUAGUGGCACAACUAGAUCAACUCUAAGAAGCCCUCGUCCUCUAGCAGGAGCUGGAGACCUCCCUCAGCCUCUAACAAUAUGGGGUUUAGAUCCUCCACGGUUGGGUACAUCUGUCGCACGCAUGCUCACUAUCUGUGAGAGAAUAAGAGAAAGAUACUUAGCACAACAUCAAAUGCACGAUAAGAGAUAAAGAAAGAGAAGUUUCCUAACACCUUAUGGCUUCUCAAAGAUAAGUGCAUAUGUCUCUGCACUGAUCCUCAAGAUUCUAUCAGGCCUGCUCAUGACUUGUGAGACCUAUGUGAACCUAGAGCUCUGAGACUAAGCUGUCAUGACCCAAUUUUUAGUAUAGGCUGUGACAGUGCAUAACAUCAUCGCUAGGCAAGCAAACGAUGAACUAGCCAUGUAAUUGUUCUUUUUAUUAAGAGUAUGAUUAAUAGAAAAUUAUAGAAAAGUAAAGUAUAAAAUAAUAGAAGAGUAGUAUAGUGAAGUUACAAUUCAAAACCAUAAAAUGUCUACUAGACUAAUCCCAAUACCUGAUGUCACAAGUGUAUGGACAACUAGUAGAAUAUAAAAAACCUCCUUUAUUACUGCCUGGAGUAAGAUUGACAGAAAAUAAAUACAAAAGAGAGACUAUUGGAGGUGCAGGAUGGGCAUAAAGAGUAGCUCACCACUAAGCCUCGAGGUAACGGGGGUAUGCGCCUGGAUGACUGCCAGAUGCACCUGCCUCAGAUCAUGCAUGAUUAGUGCAUAAGUGUAGUAUGCGUACAUAAAAAAUAUGUACCUAGUAAGUAUCUAGUCUAACCUCGAAGAAGUAGUGACAAGUGGUCGACUAACACUUACUAUGGGCCAAUAAAUAAAGUACAAAAAUAUUAAAUAGGCAUGGAAUACAUCAAUAAUAAUAACGCAAAAAUGAACAGUAAAUAAGUGAUUCUUUAACUAUAUUUAAGUUAAGAUCCCAAACUAAAACCUACUAACUUCAACAAAUAAAAGCCAUUAAGUAAUUAUUAUCUCUCAAUUCAUGGAAGAAAUAUCAAGUAUAAUAGGACUCCGAGCAAUAUCACACAUGAUUUAUGCCGAGGUCGUACGGCCUGAUCCAGAAUAAUGUGUACAUUGUUGAGGGUUGACUUGAGUGAACUAUAGAUGCAUCUAUUAUACUAACGAGGAGUUUGCCCUAUCCACAAGAAGAAACAAUACUCUACGAACUCCGAUUUAAUGGCUACUACAAGACUGAUACACAAGAAGGCACAAUUCCUACUAACGGUCAAGUAACCCACCAAAACUCAAAGUAAAUGAAGUUUGGUCCUAACGAAUCCCUUAUCGAGUAUAUAUAUAAUUUAAGCACUUAAACUAAUAAGUAGAGUACAAAUAAUAUUGGUAUUACAUGAUAAAGUCCUAAAACUACCCAGACAUAAGCAUGAUUUUUAGCUACGCACAGACUCUCAUCACUUUGUGUACGUAGUUGUCACAACUCAAACCGAUGGGCCGCGAUGGGCACCCCGUACCUUAUUCAACCAAGUACCAACAUAUCAAAUCUUUCAUAUCAUUCUAUCAUAGGUAAGUGAACCGGAGUAAAGCAUGAGGGAAUAAAAACUUAUACAUAUGAAGUAUGAUCCUAUAUGACCCAAAUAACCACUCGUGUACUGAACUUAGGCCGACAUGGCCAUACAAUCUUUUACGUACAUGCCAUCUGUCUACAAGCCUCUAGAAUACAUAAUUUUCAUAAAGGUCGGGACAGAGUCCCACCAUACCAAAAAAUACAUGUCUAAAUCAUACUAACCAAACAAGCAACUUCGAAGCUAAUGGAGUGCACCAACAUCUUUCGCGGAGCUGAUAGCCUACUUGGAGGGCUCUUGACCUAUCUAUCGGGACCUGCGGGCAUGAAAUGCACCGUCGCCAGGAAAAAGGGACGUUAUUACGAAUAAUGUACCGAGUAUGUAAGGCACAUUAAUAAGUACAUAACAUACAUGGAAGAAAUAUAGAGUAAAUGACUCAACCUGUAAGUCUGGAUAACUAUGUAAAUCAUGAAACACUUAUAAUGUCAUGCAUAUGCAAAUGAAUGUCAUGUCAUGCUUAGGUACAUGUGUUCAUAACAUCAUCAAGCCUCUGAGAGCAUCCCAUCAUAUCAUCUCGGCCACUGUGGGCAAAUCAUCAACAUAUACNNNNNNNNNNNNNNNNNNNNNNNNNCCCAUAUAUAUAUAUAUAUAUAUAUAUAUAUACAUAUAUACAUAUAUAUAUAUAUAUAUGUAUAUAUGUAUAUACAUAUAUAUAUAUAUACACGUAUAUAUAACGCCAUCUGGUCAUGCGUCAUUGUGCAUGUAUAAAUGCAUGAAAUGCAAAUGAAAUACGUUAAAAAAUCUCUUGGUACAUCAUAAGACCAUCAUGCCUUGAUUAAUAUUAUGAACUAAACUUUUUCAAUUCACAUAUUUUUCUGAGACCAAUGAAUAGAAGAUAUGAUAAUAGUUCACAUGGGGAAUUAAGAAUAUAGACACCCCUAAUAUUUCUAUGAAUAAAGUCAUUUAUGAAAGUUGCAUAUUUUUCUCAUUUCAUUUGUAUUAUUUGGAUCAUGCCAAAAGGAAAAAAGGGAUAACCUUAACAUACCU